AACAAACGCUGGCGGCGUGCCUAAUACAUGCAAGUCGAACGGGGAAAGCUUUCGGGUGAGUACUAGUGGCGCACGGGUGAGGAACGCGUGGCUAAUCUGCCUUAGAGUGGGGGAUAACUAGUCGAAAGAUUAGCUAAUACCGCAUAAGACCACGAGAGCUGCGGCUUUUGAGGUCAAAGGUUUUUCGCUCUAAGAUGAGUCCGCGUAAGAUUAGCUAGUUGGUGAGGUAACGGCUCACCAAGGCGACGAUCUUUAACUGGUCUGAGAGGAUGAUCAGUCACACUGGAACUGAGACACGGUCCAGACUCCUACGGGAGGCAGCAGUAGGGAAUAUUGCACAAUGGAGGAAACUCUGAUGCAGCGACGCCGCGUGAGUGAUGAAGGCCUUCGGGUCGUAAAGCUCUGUCGCAGGGGAAUAACACAAUGAAGGUACCCUGUAAGAAAGGAUCGGCUAACUUCGUG
RNAcentral lists this ribosomal RNA (462 nucleotides) under uncultured bacterium. Its description in RNAcentral is "partial 16S ribosomal RNA". It matches the Rfam family "Bacterial small subunit ribosomal RNA", at positions 29 to 507 of the family's 1533-position model. The record is from RNAcentral.